GCCUACGGGAGGCAGCAGUGGGGAAUAUUGCACAAUGGAGGAAACUCUAAUGCAGCAAUACCACGUGAGUGAGAAAGGCCUUCGGGUUGUAAAGCUCUGUCCUGAGGGAAGAAUGGUUAGGUAGCUAAUAUCUGCUUAAUUUGACGGUACCUCAGAAGAAAGCACCGGCUAAUUCCGUGCCAGCAGCCGCGGUAA
This 195-nucleotide ribosomal RNA is filed under the name uncultured bacterium. RNAcentral describes it as "partial 16S ribosomal RNA". It matches the Rfam family "Bacterial small subunit ribosomal RNA", at positions 337 to 523 of the family's 1533-position model. The record is from RNAcentral.